UGGCACUGACUUUGAACCCGUUUGAUCUGCUCAGUAAUCAAUUGGGCCAAGCUACAGUGCGAAAGCAAAAACCAGGAUUGUUCAUAACUGGGGCCUUCUGGCAUCCCCCAGGCGGCCCUUUUAAAAGCAAUCCACAGCG
Nerophis lumbriciformis (worm pipefish) is the source of this 139-nucleotide non-coding RNA. NCBI's taxonomy places the organism in Eukaryota, Metazoa, Chordata, Actinopteri, Syngnathiformes, Syngnathidae. The record is from RefSeq and is a predicted model, not a curated record.